This 1056-nucleotide long non-coding RNA is filed under the name Oncorhynchus kisutch (coho salmon). Its description in RNAcentral is "lncRNA (ENSOKIG00005029283.1)". The record is from RNAcentral. Lineage: Eukaryota; Metazoa; Chordata; Actinopteri; Salmoniformes; Salmonidae.
AUGCCCUAUCCUGACCAUUCACACAGCCCAGUCACUCAGCCAUAUCCUGACCAUUCAACCAGUCCAGUCACUCAGCCCUAUCCAGACCAUUCAACCAGUUCAGUCACUCAGCCCUAUCCAGACCAUUCACUCAGACCUAUCCUGACCAUUCAACCAGUCCAGUCACUCAGCCCUAUCCAGACCAUUUACUCAGCCCUAUCCAGACCAUUCACUCAGCUCUAUCCAGACCAUUCCCCCAGUCCAGUCACUCAGCCCUAUCCAGACCAUUCACCCAGUCCAGUCACUCAGUCCUAUCCAGACCAUUCACCCAGCCCUCUCCAGACCAUUCACCCAGCCCUAUCCAGACCAUUCACCCAGUCCAGUCACUCAGCCCUAUCCAGACCAUUCACCCAGUCCAGUCACUCAGUCAUAUCCAGACCAUUCACCCAGCCCUAUCCAGACCAUUCACCCAGCCCUACCCAGACCAUUCACUCAGUCCAGUCACUCAGCCCUAUCCAGACCAUUCACCCAGUCCAGUCACUCAGCCCUAUCCAGAACAUUCACCCAGUCCUAUCCAGACCAUUCACACAGCCCAGUCACGCAGCCCUAUCAAGACCAUUCACCCAGCCCAGUCCCUCAGCCCUAUCCAGACUAUUCACCCAGUCCAGUCACUCAGCCCUAUCCAGACCAUUCACUCAGCCCUCUCCAGACCAUUCACCCAGUCAAGUCACUCAGCCCUAUCCAGACUAUUCACCCAGUCCAAUCACUCAGCCCUAUCCAGACCAGUCACCUAGUCCAGUAACUCAGCCCUAUCCAGACCAUUCACACAGCCCAGUCACUCAGCCCUAUCCAGACCAUUCACACAGCCCAGUCACUCAGCCCUAUCCUGACCAUUCAACCAGUCCAGUCACUCAGCCCUAUCCAGAGCAUUCACACAGUCCAGUCACUCAGCCCUAUCCAGACCAUUCACCCAGUCAAGUCACUCUGCCCUAUCCAGACCAGUCACCCAGUCCAGUCACUCAGCCCUAUCCAGACCUUUCACCCAGUCCAGUCACUCAGCCCUAUCCAGACCAUUAA